AAGUCUGGUGCCAGCAGCCGCGGUAAUUCCAGCUCCAAUAGCGUAUAUUAAAGUUGUUGCAGUUAAAAAGCUCGUAGUUGAAUUUCGGGGUUAGUAGGUUGGUCAUGCCUCUGGUAUGUACUGGUCUCACUGAUUCCUCCUUCCUGAUGAACCGUAAUGCCAUUAAUUUGGUGUUGCGGGGAAUUUGGACUGUUACUUUGAAAAAAUUAGAGUGUUUAAAGCAAGCUAACGCUUGAAUACAUUAGCAUGGAAUAAUGAAAUAGGACGUUCGAUCUUAUUUUGUUGGUUUCUAGGAUUGACGUAAUGAUUAAUAGGGAUAGUUGGGGGCAUUAGUAUUCAAUUGUCAGAGGUGAAAUUCUUGGAUUUAUUGAAGACUAACUACUGCGAAAGCAUUUGCCAAGGAUGUUUUCAUUAAUCAAGAACGAAAGUUAGGGGAUCGAAGACGAUCAGAUACCGUCGUAGUCUUAACCAUAAACUAUGCCGACUAGGGAUCGGAUGAUGUUAAUUUUUUAAUGACUCAUUCGGCGCCUUACGGGAAACCAAAGUGUUUGGGU
Molecule: ribosomal RNA, 554 nt
Filed under: Rhizophagus irregularis
Lineage: Eukaryota; Fungi; Glomeromycota; Glomeromycetes; Glomerales; Glomeraceae
Description: SSU rRNA
Rfam family: Eukaryotic small subunit ribosomal RNA
Source: RNAcentral